CCCUUUUUCUCUCCAAUUCCGAUUUCUCCUCUCUGUUUCCUUGCCUGAAAGCUACUCCUUUUUCUUGGGUAUAUUGGAAACCAAACCAGCCUGUUUCUUUAUAAUCAACGAAAUAGAUCACCGAAAGAAACGAGACCUUUUUGUUGUCCUUGUGAAUGGUGGAAAUCUUAAGCAGUAGUAAUUACAUGCUCUCCCUUUGCCAAUCAAGGGCGGGCGUUGUCUCUGCUGCCUCUGCUUUUGCUUUCGGAUCUUGCAAGGAAGGCUGGUAUUACCGCUGCCUCGGCGUAGACCCCUGAACUCUCAAAUCUCUAUCGAAUUUCAUUGUUUUAGAGAAUUUUUUAUUUUUGAAAAAAAAGCAAGAAACCUAAUUCUCUGUUUUUAACCAUUAUUCGAUCUCCAUUGGGAUCUUCUUUUAUUUGUUUCUUUUUUUCGAUUUUAUUCAAAAACCAAAACGGUUUCCUUUAGAUUUGUUUUUUCGAAAGAGAAAACAAUGUUGCUUUACAAGCCGAAGAAGAAUCAGCCCGCUAAGGGCAACAGGCUCUUGAUUAGUGUGACAGUUUUGGGGAGUGCGGGGCCGAUCCGUUUUGUGGUGAAUGAGGAGGAGCUUGUCGCUGCUGUUAUUGAUACUGCGCUCAAAUCUUAUGCUCGUGAGGGUCGGCUUCCGGUCCUUGGCUCUGAUAUCAACGAUUUCUUCCUUUAUUGUCCCAAUGCUGGGUCAGGAGCUCUGAGCCCAUGGGAAACAAUUGGAUCACUGGGGUCUCGCAAUUUUAUGCUAUGCAAGAAGCCACAACCAGUGAAGGUGGAUGAUGAUGCAAGAUCAAAUUCAGCAAUUACUCAAAAGGGGAGUGGGAGUUGGAAGUCAUGGAUUAACAAGUCCCUCAAUCUUAAGAUCUCUUCUCAUUGAUUCAGUUUCAAGUAAUGGAAGAUAUCAGCUCCUUAUCAACUUCCGACUACUGGAAUUUGUUCUCGGUUACUUCGUUUUUUCUAAUUUCAUCGAAUUGCCAAGUUGAAUUUGGUCAUGUUCCCUUGGCUAAUAUCAAAUUGCUUUCCUUGUUUAGUUAGAAACCUGAAGAGUUGUCAUUCAGGGAAUAAAAUUUGUAUUCUGGCAAGUUUUGCUUUGGAAUAAAAAAUAGAGAUAAUUUUCAAUAUCUUAUUAUUAUUUAUUUCCAAUGACCAGUGUUAUUUGUUAAGCUCUAAAAUGGAAUAUAAAAA
RNAcentral lists this unclassified non-coding RNA (1212 nucleotides) under Hevea brasiliensis (rubber tree). The record is from RNAcentral. Lineage: Eukaryota; Viridiplantae; Streptophyta; Magnoliopsida; Malpighiales; Euphorbiaceae.